CCAGAACAUGCGGUCAUCCUUGAUGUGAAAACAAGGUGGAAUAGCUUAUUCCUCAUGGUGGAGCGAUUCCUGGAGCAGUUCCCUGCCAUCCAGGCCACCUCCAUGGACCAUCGUCUUAAGAAAUUAAUGGACAAGGACAGGCAAAAACAGUUCUUAUUCUAAAUGCUUAUUCCAUUUUCAUUGUGAACGAUUUUGCUCAUGAAUCUAUAGUCCAGCUAAUGAAUGUGAUUAUAUUUUACAGACUGCAGAGAGUUUCUGAUGAGGAUUUUAGAAAAGCAGAAGAGUUUGUCAAAGUUACAAAGAUACUUUACACUUCAACCCUCUGCGUCUCUGCUGAAAGGAGCCCAACUUUGGGUCAGAUUCUGCCUAUCUUAAAUAAACUCCAGCAGAACAGACUCCGACUGAGCAGAUAGAACAGGCACUUGAAGAGAGAGCAGGUAACCAAGAUGACAGCUCUGAUGAAGACAGUGCAUCUGCAACAACAGCACUGAAGAGGCCAGAGCUUUCUGCCCUUGAGGAGCUGUUUGCUGUGGAGGACAUGGCUGUUGAAGAAUGCAGACCACUGUCAGCAGCACUACAGAGAGGAUUCAGGCAGAGAUAAAUAAGUACAGACUGCUUCCAUCUACACUGUCCUCAGUAAGUCCAGUAACCUGGUGGUGGGAUAUGAAGGACACUCUGCCAAUGCUUUCAGAAUUGGCAUCAAGGUAUCUUUGCAUGCAAGCAUCAUCCACACCCUCAGAGCGUACAUUUUCCACUGCUGGGGACAUUAUCAGCCAGGAGCGGGCUUGUCUGUCUCCUGAAAAAGCAGACAUGCUAAUUUUUCUGAAGAAGAACUGUUGAGUGAUUUCAGGUGAUCUUAAAAGGUUAGUUCACCAAAAAAAUGAAUAUUCUGUCAUUAAUUACUCACCCUAAUGUUGUUCCAAACCCAUAAGACCUUUGUUUAUCUUCAGAACACAAAUGACGAUAAUUUGGAUUUAAUCCAAGAGCUUUCUGAUCCUCCCAUAUAUUUACUGGAUAUGCAGUUUUCAAUGCCCAGAAAGGAACCAAAAACAUAGUCAAAAUAAGUCCAUGUGAUAUAAGUGGUUCAAUCAUAAUUAUAUGAAGCUGCGAGAAUACUUCUGUGCGCAAAAUAAACAAAAAUAACUUUAUUCAAUGAUUUAUCUAUGGGAGGAUCAGAAAGUUCUUGGAUUAAAUCCAAAAUAUCUUCAUUUGUAGAUAAUUAAUGACAGAAUUUUAAUUAAAGGGGGAACUAAACCUUUAAGCAGCAGUGAGCCUCACAAAUACUUAAAAUUGAUUGACUUAAAAUGGCUUGAACUUUAUUAAAACGGUUUGCACUGAUAUUUUGUGCUUUUGUUCCUUUGUUUAUUGGUCUUAGAGAUAAGCCUGCUGUGAAAAGUGUCACAAACAUCCUGAAAAAAUAAAACCAAAGUUUGUCUGAGAUUAUGUGUUAUGUAAUCUUGUUAAAAUAUAUUUCUUAAAAUAAAAGUAUCGAAAAAACUAUCGUUCGGAACCGGUAUCGAAUUCAGGGUAUCGAAACCCAGUCCUAGUCCCUGU
This is a long non-coding RNA of Paramormyrops kingsleyae, 1554 nucleotides long. RefSeq lists it as uncharacterized. The record is from RefSeq and is a predicted model, not a curated record. Lineage: Eukaryota; Metazoa; Chordata; Actinopteri; Osteoglossiformes; Mormyridae.